CGCGAAUCGCCCUUCGGGGUGCACCAGGCGCGAAAACUUUACAAUGCUGGCAACAGCGAUAAGGGGACCUCGAGUGCCAGGAUACAAUCUUGGCUGUCGCGAUGCCUAAAAAGCAUUGCAUAGCAAGGGCCGGGCAAGACCGGUGCCAGCCGCCGCGGUAACACCGGCGGCUCGAGUGGUAACCGCUAUUAUUGGGUCUAAAGGGUCUGUAGCCGGCCGGAUAAGUCUUUUGGGAAAUCCAGCUGCUCAACAGUUGGGCUUUCAGAAGAUACUGUUCGGCUCGAGACCGGGAGAGGUGAGAGGUACUUCAGGGGUAGGGGUGAAAUCUUGUAAUCCUUGAAGGACCACCAGUGGCGAAGGCGUCUCACCAGAACGGAUCUGACGGCAAGGGACGAAAGCUAGGGGCACGAACCGGAUUAGAUACCCGGGUAGUCCUAGCCGUAAACGAUACUCGCUAGGUGUCAGCCACGGUGCGACCGUGGUUGGUGCCGUAGGGAAGCCGUGAAGCGAGCCACCUGGGAAGUACGGCCGCAAGGCUGAAACUUAAAGGAAUUGGCGGGGGAGCAC
Molecule: ribosomal RNA, 567 nt
Filed under: uncultured archaeon
Lineage: Archaea
Description: bacterial SSU rRNA
Rfam family: Archaeal small subunit ribosomal RNA
Source: RNAcentral